This 460-nucleotide ribosomal RNA is filed under the name uncultured bacterium. RNAcentral's name for it is "partial 16S ribosomal RNA". It matches the Rfam family "Bacterial small subunit ribosomal RNA", at positions 338 to 795 of the family's 1533-position model. The record is from RNAcentral.
CCUACGGGAGGCAGCAGUGAGGAAUAUUGGUCAAUGGACGAGAGUCUGAACCAGCCAAGUAGCGUGAAGGAUGACUGCCCUAUGGGUUGUAAACUUCUUUUAUAUGGGAAUAAAAUGUUCCACGUGUGGGAUUUUGUAUGUACCAUAUGAAUAAGGGUCGGCUAACUCCGUGCCAGCAGCCGCGGUAAUACGGAGGAUCCGAGCGUUAUCCGGAUUUAUUGGGUUUAAAGGGAGCGUAGGUGGAUUUUUAAGUCAGUUGUGAAAGUUUGCGGCUCAACCGUAAAAUUGCAGUUGAAACUGGCAGUCUUGAGUACAGUAGAGGUGGGCGGAAUUCGUGGUGUAGCGGUGAAAUGCUUAGAUAUCACGAAGAACUCCGAUUGCGAAGGCAGUUCACUGGACUGCAACUGACACUGAGGCUCGAAAGUGUGGGUAUCAAACAGGAUUAGAUACCCGUGUAGUC